RNAcentral lists this ribosomal RNA (1211 nucleotides) under metagenome. RNAcentral's name for it is "bacterial SSU rRNA". It matches the Rfam family "Bacterial small subunit ribosomal RNA", at positions 263 to 1485 of the family's 1533-position model. The record is from RNAcentral.
GCUCACCAAGCCGACGAUCCUUAGGGGUUCUGAGAGGAUUAUCCCCCACACUGGUACUGAGACACGGACCAGACUCCUACGGGAGGCAGCAGUGAGGAAUGUUGGUCAAUGGACGCAAGUCUGAACCAGCCAUCCCGCGUGCAGGAUGACGGCCCUAUGGGUUGUAAACUGCUUUUAUGUACCAAGAAACGCUUUUACGUGUAGAAGUUUGACGGUAGUAUAUGAAUAAGGACCGGCUAACUCCGUGCCAGCAGCCGCGGUAAUACGGAGGGUCCAAGCGUUAUCCGGAUUCAUUGGGUUUAAAGGGUGCGCAGGCGGAACUUUAAGUCAGUGGUGAAAUCUUGCCGCUUAACGGUAAAAUUGCCAUUGAUACUGAAGUUCUUGAAUAUGGUUGAGGUAGGCGGAAUGUGUUGUGUAGCGGUGAAAUGCAUAGAUAUGACACAGAACGCCGAUUGCGAAGGCAGCUUACUAGCCAUUAUUGACGCUGAGGCACGAAAGCGUGGGGAGCGAACAGGAUUAGAUACCCUGGUAGUCCACGCCGUAAACGAUGUUCACUCGCUGUCUGCGAUACACAGUAGGCGGCUUAGCGAAAGCAUUAAGUGAACCACCUGGGGAGUACGAUCGCAAGGUUGAAACUCAAAGGAAUUGACGGGGGCCCGCACAAGCGGAGGAACAUGUGGUUUAAUUCGAUGAUACGCGAGGAACCUUACCUGGGCUUAAAUGUAGAUUGCAUAGAUUAGAGAUAGUCUUUUUCUUCGGAACUAUUUACAAGGUGCUGCAUGGUUGUCGUCAGCUCGUGCCGUGAGGUGUCGGGUUAAGUCUCAUAACGAGCGCAACCCCUAUCGUUAGUUGCUAGCAGGUAAUGCUGAGGACUCUAGCGAGACUGCCACCGUAAGGUGAGAGGAAGGUGGGGAUGACGUCAAAUCAGCACGGCCCUUAUGCCCAGGGCUACACACGUGUUACAAUGGUCGGUACAAAGGGCAGCUACUUGGUGACAAGAUGCUAAUCCCUAAAGCCGAUCCCAGUUCGGAUUGGAGUCUGCAACCCGACUCCAUGAAGUUGGAUUCGCUAGUAAUCGGAUAUCAGCCAUGAUCCGGUGAAUACGUUCCCGGGCCUUGUACACACCGCCCGUCAAACCAUGGAAGCUGGGGGUGCCUGAAGUCUGUGACCGUAAGGAGCGGCCUAGGGUAAAACUAGUAACUAGGGUUAAG